This is a small nucleolar RNA of Onychomys torridus (southern grasshopper mouse), 133 nucleotides long. RefSeq annotates it as small nucleolar RNA SNORA70. The record is from RefSeq and is a predicted model, not a curated record. NCBI's taxonomy places the organism in Eukaryota, Metazoa, Chordata, Mammalia, Rodentia, Cricetidae. The transcript has a single exon.
GUACUUCAAGUUAAGUUCACUACAUUCCUUUCCUGAUUCGGGCCUGGUGAGUAAUGGCUGCAAACACGUCUCUAGGAGCAGUGUGUGUAGCCUAAGCUUGUGUGGGUUUCCAUGAGGAUCUGUGGAGACUGUU